GACGAACGCUGGCGGCGUGCUUAACACAUGCAAGUCGAACGGAAAGGCCCUGCUUUUGUGGGGUGCUCGAGUGGCGAACGGGUGAGUAACACGUGAGUAACCUGCCCUUGACUUUGGGAUAACUUCAGGAAACUGGGGCUAAUACCGGAUAGGAGCUCCUGCCGCAUGGUGGGGGUUGGAAAGUUUCGGCGGUUGGGGAUGGACUCGCGGCUUAUCAGCUUGUUGGUGGGGUAGUGGCUUACCAAGGCUUUGACGGGUAGCCGGCCUGAGAGGGUGACCGGCCACAUUGGGACUGAGGUACGGCCCAGACUCCUACGGUAGGCAGCAGUGGGGAAUAUUGCACAAUGGGCGGAAGCCUGAUGCAGCAACGCCGCGUGCGGGAUGACGGCCUUCGGGUUGUAAACCGCUUUCGCCUGUGACGAAGCGUGAGUGACGGUAAUGGGUAAAGAAGCACCGGCUAACUACGUG
Molecule: ribosomal RNA, 468 nt
Filed under: uncultured bacterium
Lineage: Bacteria
Description: partial 16S ribosomal RNA
Rfam family: Bacterial small subunit ribosomal RNA
Source: RNAcentral